AAUGACACUUCCUUUGGUAUUUCAAGUGUCAGAGGCUCACCUUCACGACCCAUUCCAACGCUCUCAAAUGGAAAAGGGAGUGUCUUGUAACCUGCCCUUACAUACUUUGAGUUUGGGUGUGUAAAUGGUAUACAGUUUUCGCGGAAACGAUCAAAUACAGGAUCAAACUCAGGGUUUACCAACAUUCUGUUGUAAGCCCAAACAGCAAUUAUGCCUCCUGGUUUACGCAGAAGGCGUUUGGCAAGUGAGUAGAACUGUGGGAGAUCAAACCAAUGAACAGCCUCUGCCACAGUAAUCAAAUCUAAUGAAUUCUCAUGACCUCCCCCUAUCAAGUUGACCAUUUCAUCCUCUGAGAGUGAUGUGGGAGUAUGAAUGUAUCGAAUUCGAGGGUGCUGGAUGGCAUAUUUCAGCUGUUCCUCACUUAUAUCAGUUGCUACUACUUGUUGGUAAUGCUCUGAAAGCUGUUAAAAUGUGGGAGAUCACCAGAGUUAGCACCUAUAACACUAGUGACAUUAAGUGUAGCCGAAGGCUGACAACAGUACCAACUGAGAAGUAUAAAGUGCGAAAUCAAGAAUGUUAUUUUUCUUCUUUUGUCAAACACUUUUGGAGUAUGAAACCAAUUAGGAAAGGAUUCAACAACUGCUAAGCACAUUUUGCUUGUUGUCGAAUAGUAGGGAAUCCCAGUCUUUGAUAAUGUUAUCAUCAGAAUUGUUUUCAAAUGAGCCCAUUCAACGAUGAUCGGUAUGAAACUGAUCCCCUAGUUGUUCAAAUUCUACAACAUUUCACAAACUAUUCUACCUUAUACAUUAAUCUUUAAAUCAGAAGUGUACUAUUAUCAAAGUUGUGUGUGUAUAUACUAUAUAGUGAUACAAAUUGAAUGACGGGAUUGUUAGACUGAAUUUGAAAAAGAAAAAGAGUAAUAGUAAACUUACACCAAGAGCAGCUUGGCCAUUGCCGGUGCCAGCAUCCCAAGCUAAAGAGUGUUGUGGGGUGAGAGCAGCCAGCUUUGAGUACCAUUCCUUUGGAUAUGUUGGCCGAGCUUCCACAUAUAUCUCUGCCUGCUUGUCAAAUAGACCCGCCAUUUUCCUAUUUCUGGCCACAAAAUUAGUCUCAGAUAAUUGGAAAUCUUAACAGAAACCCAGAAACAUAAAUAUCAUUGUGUGCAGCAGAUGAAACAAAAG
RNAcentral lists this long non-coding RNA (1181 nucleotides) under Fragaria vesca (wild strawberry). RNAcentral describes it as "long non-coding RNA (FVES_LNC002363)". The record is from RNAcentral. Lineage: Eukaryota; Viridiplantae; Streptophyta; Magnoliopsida; Rosales; Rosaceae.